UACGUAGGGGGCAAGCGUUAUCCGGAUUUACUGGGUGUAAAGGGGGCGCAGACGGCGAUGCAAGCCAGGAGUGAAAGCCCGGGGCCCAACCCCGGGACUGCUCUUGGAACUGCGUGGCUGGAGUGCAGGGGGGCAGGCGGAAUUCCUGGUGUAGCGGUGAAAUGCGUAGAUAUCAGGAGGAACACCGGUGGCGAAGGCGGCCUGCUGGACUGCAACUGACGUUGAGGCCCGAAAGCGUGGGGAGCAAACAGG
RNAcentral lists this ribosomal RNA (252 nucleotides) under uncultured bacterium. RNAcentral's name for it is "partial 16S ribosomal RNA". It matches the Rfam family "Bacterial small subunit ribosomal RNA", at positions 524 to 776 of the family's 1533-position model. The record is from RNAcentral.